Ostrea edulis (European flat oyster) is the source of this 1074-nucleotide long non-coding RNA. RefSeq lists it as uncharacterized. NCBI's taxonomy places the organism in Eukaryota, Metazoa, Mollusca, Bivalvia, Ostreida, Ostreidae. The transcript has 2 exons. The record is from RefSeq and is a predicted model, not a curated record.
UGAAAAUGUCAUAUCUAUAUUAACUAGAAAUGGGGUUCAUAUAUUCUGAGAUAUUCUUUUUAUCGACAUUAGUGAGAAACUAAAACUCCAAGAAAGAACAUCCAGGAAUAACAACAUUAUGGCAGUACAAAUUCCAUCAUGUCGAACAUCAGUGAGGAAGGAAUCAUUCUACCACACAUUAAGAGGUGGAAUACCUUACCACCUCUACUGUGAUGGCUCCGAGCCUUCUCCGUCAAUGAGCUACUGGUUGUAUUUGUUUUUAAACUCGCCUGUAAAUAGACCUUCAGCAAUAUAUUUGUAUUAACAUGAGCACACCCAACAGCGGCAUAAUAGCCAUCAUUUUGACGGUGGCUGCUUACUGGUAGAAGUAACAAGGGUACCGACAACGGUACAUAAUACGCCCUUGGAAAGCUAGUAGGCUAUAGGGCGUUUUUCUUAUACCAUGAUUAGUAGAACUUGCCUUCAAGUAGUAUCAGCAAUCAUCAGGGUACAACAUACUUUCUUUGCAUCGAAAAAGCAAGACAAAUCAUGUACUCUAUGUAAUAUUUUUACUUCGCAUAAGAUCACUGUCAUGAUCGUGUGCAGGAUUGGACAAAACAAGAUGGCAGACGGCAUUUCCAAACAAAGAUCCAUUCAGGAGCGGACUUCCUUAAGCUUAAAAGUUGCAAGUGAAUGAAGUGUGUUCUAUUUUAUGUCUCCUAAUAAAACCAUGGUUUUGACAAACCUAAAAGAGCACGUGGAGCAAGGAACUAUCAGUAAGCCGGAAGAGCCAGCUCGAAAAUCUUUACGUGUUUGAGAAUUGCACCGCGCAAAUGAAUCUAAAGUUCUGCCACACGUUAGAAGGAGCCUUGUUCUCGAAGAUCAACAUGUUGAAAAGUCUUCAUUUUGCAGAAGCAAAUACAUUUAUAUUGUAUAUACACAUUUAGACCAUGUUCGAUUCCCAACCACUUAACAUUUGUGAUAUCUGCAUGGAAUUAUUAAAACUGAGCAUGGUUUGACGUAUAAUAAUCUCUUCAAGCAUGAUGGUUUACAUUUCACAAAGCUGUUCAAUGACAAUAAAGACAAUAAGAUGUU